This 253-nucleotide ribosomal RNA is filed under the name uncultured bacterium. Its description in RNAcentral is "partial 16S ribosomal RNA". It matches the Rfam family "Bacterial small subunit ribosomal RNA", at positions 524 to 776 of the family's 1533-position model. The record is from RNAcentral.
UACGUAGGUGGCAAGCGUUAUCCGGAUUUACUGGGUGUAAAGGGCGUGUAGGCGGGACUGCAAGUCAGAUGUGAAACCCAUGGGCUCAACCCAUGGCCUGCAUUUGAAACUGUAGCUCUUGAGUGAUGGAGAGGCAGGCGGAAUUCCGUGUGUAGCGGUGAAAUGCGUAGAUAUACGGAGGAACACCAGUGGCGAAGGCGGCCUGCUGGACAUUAACUGACGCUGAGGCGCGAAAGCGUGGGGAGCAAACAGG